Molecule: long non-coding RNA, 2425 nt
Organism: Oncorhynchus keta (chum salmon)
Lineage: Eukaryota; Metazoa; Chordata; Actinopteri; Salmoniformes; Salmonidae
Exons: 6
Source: RefSeq, a predicted model, not a curated record
UAAAAACAGACUGCAAAGUGAAAUAAUAUUUUACUUGGCAAGAAAGGCCGGGCAGCAAAGCCUACUGGUUGACGUCUCAAUCACGUAGUGCUUGUUUUGUCCAGCAGGAGGAGCUGCUCGCUAUAUCAGCUUCAUUAUCUCUUCUACUGACUACUUGCUCGCGCUAGUUUGAGAGAAAACUGCUGUGGAAAACUCAGCCAAAGCUAGCAAGUGUCAAGUGAAUCCACAACAUCACUACAAACGUCUUUUCAAGCCAGAGUGGAGAGGAGGAAGACUGGAUAGGAAGAAGAGUGAAAGAGAGAGGAGGAAAGAUUGGAGAGGAAGGAGAGGGGGAAAAUUAAGGGAGUAAAAAGAGUGAAGCAAGGAGAGUGAGGUGGAAAGGUAAAGAGAAGGAAAGGAAGAAAGAGCAGGAAGACAAGUGAAGACAAGAGGAGGAGAAAGAUUAGAGGAGAAGAAAAAGUUGAGAGUAAGAAGAGUGACACAAAGAGAGUGAAGAAGAGCAGACAGAGGAGCGGGGGAAGAACGGCAGUGGUAGAACAUCAACAGACGAAAAAGCAUAAAGCCUAUCUGAUUGGCCGUGUUGGUAUGCCCUCUGUCACCACAUUCUUCAAGAAGAACAUGAGAACAUAUGAAAGCUGGUGGUUCCUUUCAACAUGAGUCUUCAAUAUUCCCAGGCACUGUGGAGUGGUAAAGUGGAUGACCCUGCUCCUGAUGACCUGACCUCCCAGGCAGUGGACAAGCUCAACAAAAAACUCCACAACGACCAGGGGAUCGAUCUGAGCAUGCUCACUGUGGGCGAUGGACUCACCCUGGCCAUCAAACACUAUUCAAAAUCAAAUCAAAUGUUAUUGGUCACAUACACAUGGUUAGCAGAUGUUAAUGUGAGUGUAGCGAAAUGCUUGUGCUUCUGGUUCUGACAGUGCAGUAACAUCUAACAAGUAAUCUAACAUUUCCCCAACAACUACUUAAUACAUCUAAAAGGGGCGAAUGAGAAAAUGUACAUAGAAAUAUAUGGAUGAGCGAUGGCCGAGGGGCAUAGGCAAGGUGCGACUAGAAGGUAUAAAAUACAGUAUGAUUCAUAUGAGAUGAGUAAUGUAAGAUAUGUAAACAUUAUUAAAGUGGCAUUGUAUAAAGUGACUAGUGAUCCAUUUCUUAAGGUGGCCAGUGAUUGGGUCUCCAUGUAGGCAGCAGCCUCUCUGAGUCAGUGAUUGCUGUUUAGCAGUCUGAUGGGCUUGAGAUAGAAGCUACUCAUCAGUCUCUUGGUCCCAGCUUUGAUGCACCAGUACUGACCUCGCCUUCUGGAUGGUAGCGGUGUGAACAGGCAGUGGCUCGGGUGGUUGUAGUCUUUGAUGAUAUUUUUUGCCUUCCUGUGACAUCGGGUGCUAUAGGUGUCACGCUAACUUAUGCUAACUCAUGCUAGCUCAUUAUAAUUUAUGCUAACCUAUGCUAACUCCAAACCCACUGAUUUUAUUGGAGAUUCGAAAGCAUGUCAGCCUCAGUCUGAGAAAGAGCUAAAUCAGUACCCUCUACCCCCUGAGAUUUAAUUUGGUUCAGGUUCAAUUAUGUUAUUAGAUAUGAUUCUCCACUGAAUUGCUGCCUAAAGUUACAUAAAGGGAUUAUAUGUAUAGCAUGUUGUGAUGAUUUCUGAAAAUGUUCAAUGUCUUUCCAUACAUAGGUCUAUUGCUUCUGAGUAGUGAGUGUCUUGAUGUCUGUAUCACUAAAACAUUUUAAAAGUAUGUGUUUAUUUGUCUAAAAAAAACUUGAUUUGAAUUGAUAAUCCACCAACCUAUGUGUUCUUGUAUCAAUCCCUGUGUUCUAGUACUUCUUUAAUGUUAUAGUUAGAACUUCCAAAAGUAAUGUCACGCCUGCUCUCACUCUUCCCAUAAUGCAGGCUGCCCUGCAUUACGCACUCCUGCCACCAUCAUUUAUGCACACCUACCUUCCCUCGUCAUGCGCUUCAGUGAUUUUUUUUUUACUCACCUGGACUCACUCAAUCACAUGUUUAUUCCCUAGCCUAUACAAGUCAUUUCCCCAGCUCUGUCCCCCGCUGCUGCAUUGCUUGUCAUAUGUCCGUGUUACCCGUGUGUUGACGCUGUUCCUGUCUUGUUCUAUGUCUGUUCCUGAAUAAAUGUCUGACUCCCCGUACAUGCUUCUCCUGUCCGGCGUCGGCCCUUACAAGUAAAGUAAAAUGCCAUGAUAAAUUUGAGCAAUUAAGGUAACUCGUCAAAUAAACUAAUAAAUUGCAUCAACACAUACAGUGUAUCCCAUGUGUGAGCCUCUUUACAAAGAUUCUACUUAAAAUAAAAUGAAAUGUUAUUUGUCACAUGCGACCUUACAGUGAAAUGCUUACUUGUUGCUACAUUCUGGUAAAAAUGAGGUAAAACUGAUUUAAGUUUCCCUGCAUUAAAGUCCCCGGCCACUAGGA